This 586-nucleotide ribosomal RNA is filed under the name Heteroconium sp. 115_114E. Its description in RNAcentral is "eukaryotic LSU rRNA". The stretch from base 226 to 379 matches the Rfam family "5.8S ribosomal RNA". Lineage: Eukaryota; Fungi; Ascomycota; Dothideomycetes; Capnodiales; Capnodiaceae. The record is from RNAcentral.
UUUCUUAUGCAUUAGAGGAAGUAAAAGUCGUAACAAGGUUUCCGUAGGUGAACCUGCGGAAGGAUCAUUACUGAGUUCAUGCCCUCACGGGUAGAUCUCCACCCUUGAAUAUUAAACCUUUGUUGCUUUGGCGGGCCGCUUCGGCCACCGGCUUCGGCUGGUGAGUGCCGCCAGAGACACCAAAACUCUGAAUUAUAGUGUCGUCUGAGUACUAUACAAUAGUUAAACUUUCAACAACGGAUCUCUUGGUUCUGGCAUCGAUGAAGAACGCAGCGAAAUGCGAUAAGUAAUGUGAAUUGCAGAAUUCAGUGAAUCAUCGAAUCUUUGAACGCACAUUGCGCCCCUUGGUAUUCCGGGGGGCAUGCCUGUUCGAGCGUCAUUAUAACCCUCAAGCCUUGCUUGGUGUUGGAGCAUGCUACCUAGCAGCUCUUAAAAUCAGUGGCAGUGCCCUUCGGCUCUAAGCGUAGUAAUUCUUCUCGCUAUAGGGUCUGGAGGGUCCGCGCCAGAACCCCCAACUUUCUAUGGUUGACCUCGGAUCAGGUAGGGAUACCCGCUGAACUUAAGCAUAUCAUUAGCGGGAAGAGAA